RNAcentral lists this ribosomal RNA (254 nucleotides) under uncultured bacterium. Its description in RNAcentral is "partial 16S ribosomal RNA". It matches the Rfam family "Bacterial small subunit ribosomal RNA", at positions 524 to 776 of the family's 1533-position model. The record is from RNAcentral.
GACAGAGGGUGCAAACGUUUGUUCGGAAUUACUGGGCGUAAAGAGCGUGUAGGCGGCUAGGUAGGUCCGUUGUGAAAACUCGAGGCUCAACCUCGAGACGCCGAUGGAAACCAUCAGACUAGAGUCCGGAAGAGGAGAGUGGAAUUCCUGGUGUAGCGGUGAAAUGCGCAGAUAUCAGGAGGAACACCAAUAGCGAAGGCAGCUCGCUGGGACGUUACUGACACUAAGGCGCGAAAGCGUGGGGAGCGAACAGG